AGGACGUCAGCAUCGAAAAUGGUCGAAAUUCCUCGAAGGGAGAUUAUUACCUGUUUUGUCUGCCACCAAUCCCUGGUUGUGGGGUGGUUGUUGGGGAUUGGCGCUUGGGGCGACAGAGCAUGGCAUGAUGCAUGGGUGCUACGAUAACGAGAACCACUGGCUCCAGUGGCUUGAGGUGCUUUAACCCCCAUGGGAUUCGGUGAGUUCCAGGUCCGUGAACUGGCAAUUCAUCCAGAUUUCCUUCCAUGGUUUCAGAUGGGAUUUAUUAGCUGCAAUGCAACAUGAUGACGAGAGACAGAGUG
Molecule: small RNA, 302 nt
Filed under: Histoplasma capsulatum
Lineage: Eukaryota; Fungi; Ascomycota; Eurotiomycetes; Onygenales; Ajellomycetaceae
Also listed under: 1 other name
Description: hypothetical RNA
Source: RNAcentral